GUGUUUUCUCAGCUCUGAGAACUGAAUUCCAUGGGUUGUAAUUGAAUCCUCUGUCAGACCCAUGGGGCUCAGUUCUGCAGCUUGGAUAUUUCUG
Tinamus guttatus (white-throated tinamou) is the source of this 94-nucleotide non-coding RNA. The record is from Rfam. Lineage: Eukaryota; Metazoa; Chordata; Aves; Tinamiformes; Tinamidae.